GUUCUGACCAAUCAGCGUUAGGCGGUAAGUUUCAAAACACAAAUGGCGACGGAGAGAACUGAAGCUCUUCUGGAAAGGACUGACCCUUCCUUUCUGAAAUCAUGCACCACCACCGAGCUGCAGGAAACAGAAGAGGGCGAAAUUAUGGCUCCUUAUCUGAUGGACUGCAGGAGAAAACAGAAGCAUGUGUUCAGGCAGCUGUGUGUGGUGGUUGAUAUGAUCCAGCUGCUGGCUGGUCUGGAGUCAGUGGAUCAGCUGCUGAAUAAGCCAUGUCCCCAAAACCCAGGUAAUGAAGCUCGUUGUGCAUGGAAGGCUUUAAAAGCUGAAUAUCUGGAGAGAGUUCAGGAGGUGGAGGGGAUGAUCAGCUCUCUCUGGGAUCGCACGGAGGAGCUUCAGGGGAAACGGAAGACACUGGAGACUCUGCUGUCUGUUCUGCAGAUAAAGAAAGAGGAGUGCAAAGAGAAGCAGAGGAUCGCAGCUAAACGAAAUCAGAGAGCUGAGAAACAAAUCAGCUUUCAGUUGGAAGACUCCAUCCAGGCAGCCCAAAACUCGAUCAAUGCAUGUGAUUUGCAGUUUUCGAAGCUUAAGGAUGAGGUUGAAAAGCAGCAGGCUCGAAUUAGUGACUGGACAAUAUUAAGAGAUGGGCUGCAGACCUUGGUCAACGUGACUCACAGAAACAUGGCGUACAGGCUGCUGUCAGUCAGUUCCUCUGAGCUGUGCCUCGAGCUCUUGCCUCGUGCUGCUGAAGUAUCACUUGAGCCCCUGUGUGUCUCCAUCACCAUGACAACCAGCGAAGAAUUUCAUCUUCAGGUACUGUGUCUCAGUAUAUAAUUCCCUAGAGAGAUUAGAGGUCGACAGAUAGUGGAUUUUACCGAUACUGAUAGCUAGGUUGGACCACACUAGCUGAUACCGAUUAAUCAACUGAUAGUUUUUAAAAUGGAUACUAAAUGGAAAUUAAAACAGUGCUUUACUAUUUUUUAAAAGAAAGCAGUAGCAGUACUGAACCAUACUUUGUAAAUGAAUA
Molecule: long non-coding RNA, 1024 nt
Organism: Cyprinus carpio (common carp)
Lineage: Eukaryota; Metazoa; Chordata; Actinopteri; Cypriniformes; Cyprinidae
Source: Ensembl